GAUGAAGAACGUAGCGAAAUGCGAUACGUAAUGUGAAUUGCAGAAUUCAGUGAAUCAUCGAAUCUUUGAACGCACAUUGCGCCUGCCAGCACUCUGGCAGGCAUGCCUGUUCGAGCGUCAUUUCAACCAUCAAGCCCUAGGCUUGCGUUGGAGCCCUGCGGCUGCCGCAGGCACCUAAAAGCAGUGGCGGGCUCGCUAUCACACCGAGUGCAGUAGAUUACUCUUCGCUCAGGGCGUGUGGCGGGUUCUUGCCGUAAAACAACCCCCCCUUUUCACCAAGGUUGACCUCGGAUCAGGUAGGAAUACCCGCUGAACUUAAGCAUAUCAAUAAGCGGAGGA
Molecule: unclassified non-coding RNA, 339 nt
Filed under: soil metagenome
Description: partial contains 5.8S ribosomal RNA, internal transcribed spacer 2, and large subunit ribosomal RNA
Rfam family: 5.8S ribosomal RNA (bases 1-120)
Source: RNAcentral